AUUGAACGCUGGCGGCAUGCCUUACACAUGCAAGUCGAACGGCAGCACGGGAGCAAUCCUGGUGGCGAGUGGCGAACGGGUGAGUAAUAUAUCGGAACGUGCCCAGUCGUGGGGAUAACGUAGCGAAAGCUACGCUAAUACCGCAUACGAUCUAUGGAUGAAAGCGGGGGAUCGCAAGACCUCGCGCGAUUGGAGCGGCCGAUAUCAGAUUAGGUAGUUGGUGAGGUAAAGGCUCACCAAGCCGACGAUCUGUAGCUGGUCUGAGAGGACGACCAGCCACACUGGGACUGAGACACGACCCAGACUCCUACGGGAGGCAGCAGUGGGGAAUUUUGGACAAUGGGCGCAAGCCUGAUCCAGCAAUGCCGCGUGCAGGAUGAAGGCCU
RNAcentral lists this ribosomal RNA (386 nucleotides) under uncultured bacterium. RNAcentral describes it as "bacterial SSU rRNA". It matches the Rfam family "Bacterial small subunit ribosomal RNA", at positions 30 to 417 of the family's 1533-position model. The record is from RNAcentral.